AUACGGAGGGUGCAAGCGUUAUUCGGAAUCACUGGGCGUAAAGGACGCGUAGGCGGGUUGGCAAGUCAGAUGUGAAAUCCUACAGCUUAACUGUAGAACUGCAUUUGAAACUGCUAACCUAGAGUAUGGGAGGGGGAGAUGGAAUUAGUGGUGUAGGGGUAAAAUCCGUAGAUAUCACUAGGAAUACCGAAAGCGAAGGCGAUCUCCUGGAACAUAACUGACGCUAAGGCGUGAAAGCGUGGGGAGCAAACAGGAUUAGAAACACUAGUAGUCC
Molecule: ribosomal RNA, 274 nt
Filed under: uncultured bacterium
Lineage: Bacteria
Description: partial 16S ribosomal RNA
Rfam family: Bacterial small subunit ribosomal RNA
Source: RNAcentral